Molecule: ribosomal RNA, 520 nt
Filed under: uncultured bacterium
Lineage: Bacteria
Description: partial 16S ribosomal RNA
Rfam family: Bacterial small subunit ribosomal RNA
Source: RNAcentral
GGGGAAUAUUGGACAAUGGGGGCAACCCUGAUCCAGCAAUGCCGCGUGUGUGAAGAAGGUCUUCGGAUUGUAAAGCACUUUCGACGGGGACGAUGAUGACGGUACCCGUAGAAGAAGCCCCGGCUAACUUCGUGCCAGCAGCCGCGGUAAUACGAAGGGGGCUAGCGUUGCUCGGAAUGACUGGGCGUAAAGGGCGUGUAGGCGGUUUACACAGUCAGAUGUGAAAUCCCCGGGCUUAACCUGGGAGCUGCAUUUGAUACGUGUAGACUAGAGUGUGAGAGAGGGUUGUGGAAUUCCCAGUGUAGAGGUGAAAUUCGUAGAUAUUGGGAAGAACACCGGUGGCGAAGGCGGCAACCUGGCUCAUGACUGACGCUGAGGCGCGAAAGCGUGGGGAGCAAACAGGAUUAGAUACCCUGGUAGUCCACGCUGUAAACGAUGUGUGCUAGAUGUUGGGUAACUUUGUUAUUCAGUGUCGCAGUUAACGCGUUAAGCACACCGCCUGGGGAGUACGGCCGCAAGG